This is an RNA transcript of Oncorhynchus keta (chum salmon), 960 nucleotides long. It is a transcript of the gene named cilia- and flagella-associated protein 418-like, with no coding region annotated. The transcript has 4 exons. Lineage: Eukaryota; Metazoa; Chordata; Actinopteri; Salmoniformes; Salmonidae. The record is from RefSeq and is a predicted model, not a curated record.
CUAGAAAUCCAUUGGGAUCUUCCCGCGCAGGUUCGAAUCCUGCCGACAACGUGAUAUUUUUCUCUUGUGGUUCACCAAGCUAUCAUAGAUAGCCAGUAUCUCUUAUUGUAUCACAACACAUAAAUCACUAGCUACACGGUAUCAAUCUUUACCUACUUGAAAUGAGGUUACGCAUGUCAAUCAAGCACUCCUGUUCAUGACAGCAGCAGUACCUGAAGCUAUGGCGGACGAAUUGCUAGAUGAGGUUGAAACAAAGUUCUGUCGAAGUGGAAGCUUAUGCAACGUAAACUAACGGCGGUAGCUAUGUAACGUUAGCUAAUUAGUUGCAAACGCCAGCCUUCCUAAAAUGCAUUGUUAUUUCAUCAAGCAUGUUAGCUAAAUCACCUAAUUAGCUAUGUAACGUUAACUUGCUAAAACUGUUCCUCGCUUCACACCGUCAGCACCACUGACGAUACCCCCAGAAAAACGGACAGCGAAGAUAUAGAUGCCCGUCUUGAGGACAUGCUUGACGAUGACUUCGAUUCCCUUGAGCUAAACACAGGACAGCUUCCUAAAACGGCAAAGACGAAGUCAUUGCCACAGGCAACAAGAAAAUCGUGUGACUUUCGGGGUGGCCAUGUUUGAUGAUCAUGAAUGGGACUCUUGUGAUUACCUAUUCUUCAGGAGCAACAUGCGAGACUGUCAGAAGCUGCUGGCCAAGCUGAGGAGAAGAAAGGGGGCGCGGGUAUACGCCUGCCAGUGUAGCUGGCACUCUGCUCGAGACCUCACCGACCUGAGAGAACAGCACCAGCUCAAGUGGGUCUGUGGGAAGCAUGAUGUGUGACAGCCUUCUUUCUAACACACACACACACACACACACACACACACACACACACACACACACACACACACACACACACACACACACACACACACACACACACACACACACACACACACACACACACACACACACACACA